Long non-coding RNA from Micropterus salmoides (largemouth bass), 299 nucleotides. RefSeq lists it as uncharacterized. The transcript has 2 exons. The record is from RefSeq and is a predicted model, not a curated record. Lineage: Eukaryota; Metazoa; Chordata; Actinopteri; Centrarchiformes; Centrarchidae.
UGAACUGACUGAAUGUGCCAACUUGUUGCUAUUGCGAAGGAAAUAUCAGCUGCUGUUUCAACAAAAUGUGAAUGCAGACUGAAAUUCAACCGUGUUGUUGUGUCAGGAGAGGCAGCGAUUCAAAACAGCGUAUGGCCAAAAGCUGAGUGGACAUCGGUGGUAGUUCCUGUCCUGUGGUCAGCUCCAGCAUCAAGAAGUGGACAAAAAGAGCAACAACAACGACAUUAAGAAUUUAUAAGUCCUUAAGCUAUAAAUCACAGUUUAAUGCAAACAAUAUAAUAAAAUCCUUUUAUAAUCCA